RNAcentral lists this long non-coding RNA (3980 nucleotides) under Mustela putorius furo (domestic ferret). Its description in RNAcentral is "lncRNA (ENSMPUG00000031154.1)". Lineage: Eukaryota; Metazoa; Chordata; Mammalia; Carnivora; Mustelidae. The record is from RNAcentral.
AUGGACCACAGGGCUUCUGUUCUGGUUGCUACUGCUAGUUUAAAAAAAACAACACCGAACAAAAAAACGCUGCCAGCUUUGUUGAAGCCCAGAGAAUCUUCAUCCCCCAAAAUAAUACGUUUGUUUAUAGAGGAUGAUUUCGUUAAUUUACUACACACCAGGCCGGCAUCCGGUGACACUCCCGGUCUAUGUGAGGGGUGGGUUUGUGUCUGGAUUUCCUUCGAGGAGGGGACGUGUUCCAGCCCGUGUGGUUGCAGGGUGGGGGCGGGCAGGGCGGAGGGAGGCACUGAGGGGGUGGGGUGGGGGGGGGAGGGGGGCAGAGGGAGGAGAAGCAGACUUCCCGGGGAGGAGGGACCUCGAUGCCUGAAAUGGGCCUUGAUCCCAGACAUCAUGACCCGAGCGGAAGGCAGUCGCUUAACAGACUGAGCCACCCAAGCACCCCACCAUUAGCUUGCUCUGAUGCUGUCUCAGAUGGCUGCUGCCGGGGGUCGAAUUGCGCCCCCCAAAAGAUUCGUUUCAGUCUUAACCUCCAGGACCUGGGAAUGUGACCUUCCUUGGACUGGGACCUUUGCACAUGUCAUCAGUGUAAUCCAGUCUGACCUUUGCUUCGAGAACUGGGUUCACUGGGUUCAAGAUCAUUCCCUUUGCUUCCCGAGUUAACUGAUUUCAAGAGGUCAAACUGUGUAUUGUGGCUUUUCCCAGACUGGCUGAUUCAAACCGCUGUUGGAGCCAGAAAAGAGGGGAAAAAAGAUUAUUGACUAAGAAACAUUAAUUUCUGUUGCAAAUGACUCGUUGGGGCAGGUUGUUGAUUAUCUCAACUCUGUUGCCAUUUGUAUUUAGAAAUGGCUCAUAAAUUUGCUUACGUGGGUCUGGUUUGUCCUCCAAAAUGAAGCGACUGUGCGGCAAACAGCCCCCGAGCCAGACGGCGGCCCGACAGCUUCCAUCCCCGGGAGCUCUGACCGCCUGCUGCGGAGCCGGGGGCCCUGCCUCUGUGACCGGUGGUUUGCUCAGGAGCUGGGUGAGCUCCAUGUGACCGACGGGGAGACUGAGGUGGGGGAUAGCCGAGGAAGUCAGACACCGGAGGCCACAGAGCUCAUCUGUGUGCGAGCUGACUUUCCCACUGCUUCUUCAGACCCGAGACUCUUUCCUGCCCUGCUUGUCUUUGUGCUCGCUGCCAACAAGUUCCUAAUCAGAUGACGGAGAAAAACAAACAUAGCCAUUCCCACUGGGAUGCGUGUUUGAUAGACUAGUGUGUGUGUGUUUGUGUGUGUGUGUGUGUGUGCACGCGUGCGUGCACGCACUUGUGCGGAAGGUCAGUGCGUGUGUGUCAUUGUCUUCAAGAACACUGACCAUCGCUAAUGUUGAAAAAUUUCCUAAACCACCUUUCCUGCCAGGUCAAUAAAUUGAGCUCCUCAGGUAAAUCACCUGGCUUAUCUCCAGUCUGUUUAAGAACCUUUUAAACCCUACAGAUACCUCUGCCCCUCUACACCUCCCCGGGGUGGGGGCUGGCUGCCCUCAGAUGGGUCCUGCAGCCAGGACUCAGCUUGUCCUGUGGCUGAGUCAGGAGAAGCUUCCGUGGGCCCAGAGGAAAGUGGGAGGAGAAGCUGGGGGGACUCGGUACCGUGCAGAAAAGGACCCGCCCCCCGCUUUUCUCUACCAGCUCCCCGAAGGACAGAGGCAUGGCGCCAGCGUGAGUCUGUGCCCUUUUCCCAGAGUGUGGUUGAUGCCCGGCUGAUCUCUCAAUGAUUAACCGUGCAACCUUGGGCACACUGUGUCGUCUCCUGGGCCACCUGCAAAGGCCGCGUGGCCUCCUGGGAGUUCAGCUCAUAGAUUGCACACGACACGCCCUGCAGUGCAUCUGGAGGCCUUUGCCCUGGCCGGACCCCCUGCCCAGACCCCCUGCCCAGACGUCUACACUGCCUGCUUUGUGCUCCUGUGUCAUCUGUACUCGAAAGUCCCUAAUAGGGUUUCUUUGCCUCGAUGGUCCCAACGAUGGUGCCCCUCCCCCUGGCAUUUUAUUUUCUCAUCCUCUGCCUUAUUUUUCUUCUCAGCACUUACCAGAAUCCAAAAGAUGAUAUACGUCUUAUUUCUUUGGUUUAUUGUCUUCUCCUGUCAGGAAGGCAGGGGUCUCUGUUUCCUGGGCUGCGGCUCCUGCUCUCCCCAGCACUUGGAACGGGGCCUGGUCCCUGUACUUGCUCUCUCUGCGCUGAGUGAGCUUCCCGGGUGAGUAAGGGAGUAGGCUUAGCUUUGGAGGGCUCUGCUCCUCAGAGAAUGAAUGACAAGACGGACGGUAGCCCUCACGAGCUGGUCGGUACGCACUGAGCGAGAGCUCCUGGUACUGCUGCCAUGAUUGGUACGUGCCUCGCCUGCCAUUCAGGGGCCUCGGAUCGUCCCGCAGCACGUGAGCAGGGGCUGAGUCUGCUCAGGGCACAGCGAAGCAGAGAAACUGCGGUCCGAGGAGGCAGCAGGUCGCCCCUCUUUGCCCCACCCCUGCCCGUGCCCGGUGUGCAUCCCCACACGGGGAAGGAAGAGCCCAGGCACUGGAGUUUUCUUUUUCCUGCUGUCUGAUUCCAGGCAGGGCAGGAGAGGGGUGCCGUGGGGGCCCUGCUCCCAGCGCUGCUGCCGCCCCCUGUGGGUCCACGUCUCCGCCAGGCUGGGGCCAGGGCCUCGUCCCUGUCUUCCUGCACCCGGGCACGUCCCGGGCAGCCUGCGGUUGGGCCGCGUCUCCGGGCCAGGACUUUCAGGAAUGCUCCCUCUUGACCACACAAGCGAGGCCACACAUGCCCGAUUGUGGUGAACUCUGAACUCUCUGAAGGAGCGUGAACCUCACACGGCGCCCUCAGUAAGGCUUUGUUGCCUUAAAUCUCACCCACUCCCCUCGCUCAAGGGGCUCGUUAACUGUUCGCACUUCUGUUGCUCAUUGUUCAGAAUCUUUGUGUUCUGUCUUUUAACUGGGGUAUGUGUCUUUUUUUCAAGUUUUUGGUAAGGGUUUCAUUUCUGAGAUUAAAAAAAUUGUUCAUCCUUUCUCAAAUCCCAUGUUGUGAACCCGCAUCAUCUUUUCUCAGCCUCUCAGUUUUCCGUGGGGCAUCUCUCUGACAUACCGAAGUUUUACAUUUUCCCGUGGUCAGAUCUGAGCAUCUUGAUUAGUUGCUUCUUAAUGAAAUGUCUGAGUUAGUGAUUUAAGAAAUUCUUCCAAAUUUCAAGACUGGGCAAACGUUCCCCACUGGGUUUUUGUUUGUUUGUUUGUUUGUUUUAAACAUGUAACUGUAGAAUUAAUUUUUGGUGGAAAGUAUGAGAUGAGGCCUAAUGCAGUUCUUUCCCUCCAAGUAGCUAGCAAAAUUAUCUAGUAGGAUUCAUUGACUAACGUUCCCUUUUCCUGCCACUUUAAAAUAUCACCAUUAUCACAUACCGGAACUUCCAAGUGCGUGCCGAAGUCUCACCCAGGCUUUCCGUUACCCAGCACCGUACUGUUUACGUUUUCUAGACUCACGGUGUUUGGAAGGCAAACCUUCAUUCCGUCGAUGGAGGAACAGAGGCACAGAGAGGUCAAGCCUCUGCCCAGUCACACAGCUCGCUGGAGGCUCCAGAUCUCCAAUGCGUAUAAUUUCCAGCGUAUUCGAUCGUCUCAUAGGUGAUGUCUCCGCGUUCCUGUCUGUGCUUUUGAUGUCACGUUUGCUCACGGCCUAUCCCUUGGGUGCGUUUUUUCUUUUGAAGCAGCCGUGGUAAGUUCUCUCUCUGUCUAGGUGGAACUCGUUAGGAUGAGAUGUGUCUGGGCGGCGUAUUCAGCUAAGGCGCUGACUUGGUUUCCGCUCAGGGCAGGAUGCCAGGGUCGUGGCAUCGAGCCCCAUGUCAGGCUCCACACUCAGCAGGGAGUCUGCUUGGAACUCUGCCUCCUCCUCUGCCCUGCCCCCUGCCUGUGCGCAUGCACAUGUGAUCUCUCUCUUUCUAAAAUAAAUAAAUAAUUUUUUUUUAAAAAAAAA